Molecule: unclassified non-coding RNA, 297 nt
Filed under: Hevea brasiliensis (rubber tree)
Lineage: Eukaryota; Viridiplantae; Streptophyta; Magnoliopsida; Malpighiales; Euphorbiaceae
Source: RNAcentral
AUUCUGACUACUGAUAUUUGGGUGCCAAACUUUCGUCACGAACUGCAUUUUAGGAGGUUCAAAAGGAUAACCACUAGGGAGUUUGAUGUCGAUCCUGAAGGUGCCGCCCUCGUAGGGCGUGCCGACGGGGCCCGAGAUGGUGCCGGAGAAGUGGGAGAGGCUGGCGGCGCCGGCGCCGGCAGGCUCGAGGCUGACGCCGGAGACCGCCGUGUCGCGGUUGCAUUCCUUCAGCUCCUUCUGAACCCUCGUGGCGUCCAUCAUCUUCAGAUCGAGAGGAGGAGGAGAAGUGCGGUCGAG